RNAcentral lists this unclassified non-coding RNA (279 nucleotides) under plant metagenome. RNAcentral's name for it is "partial contains small subunit ribosomal RNA, internal transcribed spacer 1, and 5.8S ribosomal RNA". The record is from RNAcentral.
UUUCCGUAGGUGAACCUGCGGAAGGAUCAUUACUGAGUGAGGGCCCCUCGGGGUCCAACCUCCCACCCGUGUUUAACGAACCUUGUUGCUUCGGCCGGCCCGCCGCACGGCCGCCGGGGCGCAUCUUCCCCCGGGCCCCCGCCCGCCGAAGCAGCCUGUUAAGCCUUUCGGAAGUAUGCAGUAUAAGACAAUUAUUAAAUUAAUUAAAACUUUCAACAACGGCUCUUUGGGUUCCGGCAUGGAUGAAGAACGCAGCAAAGCUGAAGAGCACACGGCUGA